Molecule: long non-coding RNA, 1149 nt
Organism: Quercus lobata
Lineage: Eukaryota; Viridiplantae; Streptophyta; Magnoliopsida; Fagales; Fagaceae
Exons: 3
Source: RefSeq, a predicted model, not a curated record
AGAAAUGGGACUUCAGGUGUUCAGCAUUGGUGUUUUACCACCUUUGCUUUGGUUUGUGAUCUAUUGUUCAAAAGUAUCAUCUUAUUAAUUGAGUUGAUGACACACUGGUAGAGCAGCUUGUGAAAUCUGAUAAAACUUGUUAAGAGAGGUGAGUCCCUAGUUAACUGGUGUUGCUUGUGUUGGUGUGAUGGGGAAUUGGUAGACCAUCUUUUACUUCAUUGUAAGUUUUCUCAUGCUUUAUGGAAUGAAGUUUUUUAGGUGUUUGGGUUCCAAUGGAUUUUGCCGAAGACUGUUUUCUCUCUUUAUGCAUGGAGGAAUUGGUUUGGGAAGCAACUGCCAAAUAUCUGGAAUAUAGUUCAUAUGUGGUGAAAUAUAUUAAGAUUGUCUGAGGGCACCGAGGUCAAUGUGAAUAAUUGCAUUAUACGCGGAGUUCUUGUAACUGUUGGGGAUCUUACUAGAGUGGGUGGUUAUUUAACGAGACAAUACAUUCCUGAACAUAUGCCUUUAAUUGUUGAAGCUUUAUUGGAUGGAGCAGCUAUCACAAAACGUGAAGUGGCUGUUGUUACUCUUGGUCAAGUUGUGCAGAGCACUGGGCAUGUGACACUUUUCUUAAGGUAUGUUAUAAUUCCAUAAAAUGAGUAUCCGCAGCUACUUGAAUGGUGAGUUAGCAUGGUCUACCAGACAGGAAGCACUGAAGGGAUCUACUUACGACUUAGACUUCUGAGUUGUAUCCCGUACAACAUUUUUUUUGUACAAAGGUUGUUCUUGUUUAGAUCCUUGGAAUUAUGGGUGCUCUGGAUCCUCAUGUGCAUAAAAAAAAUCAGCCAAGUUUGCUGGGGUUGCAUGGAGAUGUAGCCUGUGCUACCAGUGAUUCAGGUCAUGUUCAGUCCUUGGAUGAUCUGCCUAUGGAUCUGUGGCCAUCUCUUGCAACACCUGAAGAUUAUUAACCCACGGUAGUGCAUCAACCUGACAUAUGACUUUGUUUAUUUUUGCUUGUUAUAUUAAUUUCUGUGGCUCUAGGUUGCGACCAAUUCUCUCAUGCGAAUACUUUGGGAUCCUUCUCUUGCUAGUUACCACCUUAAGGUGGUUGGAUCACUUAUGUUCACAUUUAAGGUAUGUGUAGCAAAAUGGAGUGGUUUUUUCUUUUUA